GGACUUUGCAUACUUCUAUGUUGC
Molecule: non-coding RNA, 24 nt
Filed under: Mus musculus (house mouse)
Lineage: Eukaryota; Metazoa; Chordata; Mammalia; Rodentia; Muridae
Source: RNAcentral